Long non-coding RNA from Olea europaea var. sylvestris, 471 nucleotides. RefSeq lists it as uncharacterized. The transcript has 2 exons. The record is from RefSeq and is a predicted model, not a curated record. Lineage: Eukaryota; Viridiplantae; Streptophyta; Magnoliopsida; Lamiales; Oleaceae.
UAUACUAGAACCUGGAAAUGGGUAGAAGAAAAAAAAAAGCCAGAAAGAACCGAGAUAAACCAAGAGAAAGAAAGGAGAAGAGGAGAAGAAGAAGGAAGAAAAAGAGAAGAAGAUGAAAGAUAAAGGAAAUAUAAAACACUAGGAAACUAGAAUCUGGGAACUAUUCCAUCUUUUCUCCAAUUUAAAGUCCUGUUUGGCUGUAAUAUAAGAUAGCAGUCGAAUUGAGUAGCUUUGGAGCAUGUCAAACCACCUAAUUGAGCCACGCGUCAUAGGUUGUAUGAUUAUCAGAUUAUAUAUUUUGUUCUUUUGGGAUACAUGUAGGUUAAAUCAGAAAAGUUCAUUAUCGGCUCACUAGAUAUUUGGUAUUGCCAGCAUUUUAUUUGAAUAGUUUGUAUUUUGAGGGACUGUCGUACCCUAUUCAUAUUGUAGGUAUUGAUUCGAGAAAAAAAUGAUUAUUGUUCAAGUGAUUUA